GACGAACGCUGGCGGCGUGCUUAACACAUGCAAGUCGAACGGAAAGGCCUGCUUUCCCUUGUGGAUUGCGGGUACUCGAGUGGCGAACGGGUGAGUAACACGUGAGUGAUCUGCCCCCAACUUGGGUAUAAGCCUGGGAAACUGGGUCUAAUUCCCGAUAGGACUGCAGGGUGGUGCCUGUGGUGGAAAACGAUUUUCUGGUGGUUGGGGAUGAGCUCGCGGCCUAUCAGCUUGUUGGUGGGGUAAUGGCCUACCAAGGCGGCGACGGGUAGCCGGCCUGAGAGGGUGGACGGCCACAUUGAGACUGAGAUACGGCCCAGACUCCUGCGGGAGGCAGCAGUGGGGAAUAUUGCACAAUAGGCGGAAGCCUGAUGCAGCGACGCCGCGUGGGAGAUGACGGCCUUCGGGUUGUAAACUCCUUUCGACCGCGAGGAAGCCACCUGGUUGGAAGGGUGGUGACGGUAGUGGUAGAAGAAGCACCGGCUAACUACGUG
This 494-nucleotide ribosomal RNA is filed under the name uncultured bacterium. RNAcentral describes it as "partial 16S ribosomal RNA". It matches the Rfam family "Bacterial small subunit ribosomal RNA", at positions 28 to 507 of the family's 1533-position model. The record is from RNAcentral.